GAGUUCAAGCUACUGUUCCUUAGUAACAGUGCAUUGCCAAUUCUGCCUUCCCAACUUGCUAAAAUUACUGGGCUACCAUUAAUCACCCUCGUGUCUUCUUCAUCACCUGGAAGUUCCCACCUCACCCAGUUACCACCUUCGCCAUCUCCAUUUUCCUUCAUCUACCUCCUGUGCCGGCGAUUCGCCAUCGCCACCUUCCAAAAAUCGCCGGCAAUUCACCCUCACCGUCUGAAAAUUUGUUGUUCUAAACUUAUUCUUCUUCGUCUGAAAAUUUCGGUAAAAUUCGUUAUCAUUUCAAUUUCUGUUUCUUCUCUUUUUGAUGAUUGAUUUUCGAUUGUUGAAUCUUCAAAUUCGGAGGUAAGAAGAAUGCUAAAUGAAACUUUUGUGUUGAUUUUUGUGGUUGCGCAGAAUAUGCUUGGAUUGCGCGCAGAAAAGUUGUUCGUGGUGGUGUCUCAGUAUUUUCGACUAAAUCUCUUAACUUUCGCUUCGAUUGAUUGUAUUAUGUGUAUGUGAAAUGACAUUGAUCAAUUGUUUAUGUUGCUAUUUUUCGUUCAGGUGUUAGGUCGCCAAAUUCGAAGGAAAUCAGGAGCAUCUGCAGCUCCUUUUGGAUCUAAUGUCUAUGCGAGAUCUGGAAAAGAGGUUAUUUUGAUUUUAAUGUCUAGAAUCAGGCCAUGGGCUGUAUGAAGAGUCCCUUCCAUCUGGUGGAAUAAUCA
Beta vulgaris subsp. vulgaris (sugar beet) is the source of this 713-nucleotide long non-coding RNA. RefSeq lists it as uncharacterized. The transcript has 3 exons. Lineage: Eukaryota; Viridiplantae; Streptophyta; Magnoliopsida; Caryophyllales; Amaranthaceae. The record is from RefSeq and is a predicted model, not a curated record.